Long non-coding RNA from Chinchilla lanigera (long-tailed chinchilla), 1438 nucleotides. RefSeq lists it as uncharacterized. Lineage: Eukaryota; Metazoa; Chordata; Mammalia; Rodentia; Chinchillidae. The record is from RefSeq and is a predicted model, not a curated record. The transcript has 4 exons.
UCGCCUGGCCGCCUGGCCGUGAGCCGCUGCGGGGCAGAGAGCUGGCUGGGAUCCCGCAGAUGGAGAAAAGGCCCACACGAUGAGGCAGCCGCAGCCAGACUCCACUGCUGCGGGGACAGUGCAGCGACUCCCCGAGGCCCCCUCUGCCCCAAACCGCAGGGCGGGCGCGCGCCCCGCCCCCACCACGCCCGACACCCGGGCUCCUGCGGCCUAGGCCCUUAGACUCUGAAGGCAAGGACAGCCCCCAAGCAGCCUGCCGGGCCUCGGAAUGGAUGAACCAGCGCUGCCUGUCUCUUCUGGGCCAGAGGGAGUGAGGGCUGCGCGCUUUGAAGACGGGGCAGAGGAACCCAGGAGGCUGUGGCCCGGGACAAGCGGAGGUCAGGCCAGCGAGGGGUCGCCAGCACCUGGCGGCGGAGCUGCGUCUGAGCUCAGACCGCCACGCGCAGCUGUGUGACUUCAGGCAGGUCGUGGGCGUUGGGCGGUGUGCACCCUCUCAUCCACAGGCCAGCUGGGGCCACUCCUCCUCCCCGGCCUCGCCCAGUGCCCGCACCUGGCUUCUGUCUCCUUCAAGCUCUUCGUCGCCGAAUUCCAAGAACCUAGAACAGUGCCUGGCACACAGUGGCUGGCUGGCAGGCAGAGGUGACCCAUUCACCUCCCUGGCUGGGGCGCCCCUACUCCAGUGACCUGUCACGCUGCGGUGACUGGGUCACCCCCGCCGCCAGCUUUGAGGGCAGAGGUCACCGGUCUGGUCGCCCCACCCCUUCUAUGUCAACAUCUCGGUCAGGACACACACCGCGUCCCCGGGAGCCCCGACCCACGUCAGCGCCAAAGAAAUCAGACAGGUCCAGCAGGGCCAGCUGCUGCGCUACGACCCGGGCUCCGGCUGGGCUCCAGCGCCGCCUCUAAUUGGCUGUGUGACCUUAGGCUAGGGCACCGGCCUGUCUGGACACCUCAGUUUUUACUCUGUGUAUGUGACACACGGACAGAGCCCUAAUUACUCACCAAGAAUUGUUCUAAGAACUUUACACACACGUAACCCAUGUAAUUCGCCUGGGAACCCGAGGCGCUGGGUUGCUAGGAUCUCCCGUGUCACACAUGACAAAAGGAGGCCCAGAGAGGUUGAAGGGACCCGCCCUGGCCCGAGGUCACACAGCACAGCUGAGCCUCCCCUUCCUUCCGGAGGGAAAUGGCCGGGCUGUGCCACAGUCCUGGCAGGGACCUCACACAGCGGCCACCUUCCAGCUGCCGGAGACAGAGAGAGCCACAGGCCAGAGUCACACCGCGCCGGCUCCCACAUGCCGCUGAUGGCCCUGCGAAGGUGCGGUGGCAGGGACGAGCCAGGACCGCAGAGGGCGCGCACGGCCGGUCCCAAACACGGUGACCCUGGCUGCCGCCUGCCGCGCUCAUCCGGACAGGCUCGGCCCUGGAAGGAGGGGGC